CCCUUAGAUGUUCUGGGCUGCACGCGUGCUACAAUGAAGCGUCCAACAAGAUGCGAAGCCGAAAGGCUCAGCGGAUCUUUGAAGUCGUUUCGUGACCGGGACAGUUGAUUGCAAUUAUUCGACUCGAACGAGGAAUUCCUUGUAAUCGCGAUUCAUCAUAUCGCGCUGAAUACGUCCCUGCCCUUUGUACACACCGCCCGUCGCUCCUACCGAUUGAGCGAUCCGGUGAAUAAUUCGGACUGCAGCACUGCUUGGUCUCCAGGCUUUGCAGCGGAAAGUUUAGUGAACCUUAUCACUUAGAGGAAGGAGAAGUCGUANCA
RNAcentral lists this ribosomal RNA (320 nucleotides) under uncultured eukaryote. Its description in RNAcentral is "partial 18S ribosomal RNA". It matches the Rfam family "Eukaryotic small subunit ribosomal RNA", at positions 1470 to 1796 of the family's 1831-position model. The record is from RNAcentral.